RNAcentral lists this long non-coding RNA (252 nucleotides) under Vigna radiata. RNAcentral describes it as "long non-coding RNA (VRAD_LNC011140)". The record is from RNAcentral. Lineage: Eukaryota; Viridiplantae; Streptophyta; Magnoliopsida; Fabales; Fabaceae.
AUACAGAAAAUAGAGUAUUACAGUUGAUAGGUGUAUUAAAAUAAUGAGGUCGAGUAUUAUAUUUUAAAAUAACUCAAUAUUAUAAAUAGAAGUUCUUAAAUGUGUCUCAUUACUUAAAACACAAUUUAUCUUUCUAAAACUCUUUCUCUUAGUUCUCUCUACCUUUUCUCUACACUUUUAUACUCUCUGAUCAUUUGUUUGACAAUCAGGAAGUUCCUACGUGAUCACUGUUAAGUUGUCUUCAAUAUCCAC